UCCGGUUUGGCACCGGCAGUCUCCGAUGAGUCCCCGGCAUUACCCGCUGGCAACAUCGGACAGGUGUUGCGCUCGUUGCGCCACUUAAGGCAACACCUCACGGCACGAGCUGACGACAGCCAUGCACCACCUGUGCAGGCUCCGAAGAGCACCCGUUUUCACGGGUUUCACCCUGCAUGUCAAGCCCAGGUAAGGUUCUUCGCGUCGCAUCGAAUUAAGCCGCAUGCUCCGCCGCUUGUGCGGACCCCCGCCAAUUCCUUUGGGUUUCAAUCUUGCGAUCGUACUUCCCAGGUGGGAUACUUAAUGCUUUCGCUCAGACACCAACAGUGUAUCGCUGAUGUCGAGUAUCCAUCGUUUAGGGCGUGGACUAC
Molecule: unclassified non-coding RNA, 371 nt
Filed under: uncultured bacterium
Lineage: Bacteria
Description: contains 16S-23S intergenic spacer region
Source: RNAcentral